GACGAACGCUGGCGGCGUGCUUAACACAUGCAAGUCGAACGGAAAGGCCCUGCUUUUGUGGGGUGCUCGAGUGGCGACCGGGUGAGUAACACGUGAGUAACCUGCCCUUGACUUUGGGAUAACUUCAGGAAACUGGGGCUAAUACCGGAUAGGAGCUCCUGCUGCAUGGUGGGGGUUGGAAAGUUUCGGCGGUUGGGGAUGGACUCGCGGCUUAUCAGCUUGUUGGUGGGGUAGUGGCUUACCAAGGCUUUGCCGGGUAGCCGGCCUGAGAGGGUGACCGGCCACAUUGGGAUUGAGAUACGGCACAGACUCCUACGGGAGGCAGCAGUGGGGAAGAGUGCACAAUGGGCGGAAGGCUGAUGCAGCAACGCCGCGUGCGGGAUGACGGCCUUCGGGUUGUAAACCGCUUUCGCCUGUGACGAAGCGUGAGUGACGGUAAUGGGUAAAGAAGCACCGGCUAACUACGUG
This 468-nucleotide ribosomal RNA is filed under the name uncultured bacterium. Its description in RNAcentral is "partial 16S ribosomal RNA". It matches the Rfam family "Bacterial small subunit ribosomal RNA", at positions 28 to 507 of the family's 1533-position model. The record is from RNAcentral.